This 1525-nucleotide long non-coding RNA is filed under the name Equus caballus (horse). Its description in RNAcentral is "lncRNA (ENSECAG00000045750.1)". Lineage: Eukaryota; Metazoa; Chordata; Mammalia; Perissodactyla; Equidae. The record is from RNAcentral.
GCACACUGAAGCUGAAGUAGCACCAAGAUAGGGUCACAAGCCUGUGGACGGAGGGGCACUUCUGUCCUGGCCGGGAGGAGGGUCCUGGGGGCUGUGCAGAUGCAGGAAGCUUGUUGAUUUGGUAAUGGAGAGGUGAGGGAGUCACCAUCUGACAGCUUCUAAUUUCUGAGUAAAGAGCGAAGCGGGAUCACCUUCUAGGAGGCAGGAAGGGAACGUGGGAGGUUUCAGAAGAGAGAGAGUAUGAAACGGUCACCUCAGAAAGGGAAGAGUGACCAGGGCGGAGUGCCCACGUGGAGAUGUGAGCUCAUGAGCUGAAAGAAACCGACACUGGUCAGCCAGCUUGAAUGGCUUUCUCGAGCAACGUUCGGCUGCUCAGGCGCAGGCAAGAGAAGACAGAUGGGCCACGCAGAAUGGGCUUUGCUGAGCUACGUGGGCAGGAGGCCGAGAGAGACGAGAGAAUCAAGGGAACUGAUUAAAUGAUGGACCCUGAAAUCCGUCCUGGCAGUGAGGAUCUAAAAGCAAGGGGAGGACGGAAAGCGGCCAUUACAGAUUCAUUGCCCUCAUUAGGCGGAACUGGUGCUCUUGGGAGAAACGCUGAGUUCAGAAUCAAGUCCUGGUAAAUCUAACGCCGUCAAGUUGCAGUGAGCCAAAAACGAGACGCAAGGUGAAGGUGAAUGGAGAACCACGUAGAUAAAGACAAAGUUCAUGCUGCACGGGACCCAAUCGGCCUGAUACCACGCACAUUUUUCCCCCAAAGGGAAGUGGUCAUCAUGGGCCCAGCCUGCCGCAGUGCCCAACUCCAGAAGGAGCACAGACCAGAGAGCGUGGGCUUCAGAAUCAGAUGAGUUGGGGCCUGCGCGAUUUACGUGACCUCCCUCACGCCCGUGUGCCUGCCUACAAACUGGAAAUAAAAACACCCACCUUGUGAGGUUAUAUUUUAAAGUGCCUGUCAAAUAGUAGGGCUGAAUAAAUAUUAUUAUCUGCCUUCUUUCCCUUCCCAAAUUAUCAUUCUGCCAAAAUUUAUUCAUCACCUGGUGUGUGCCAGCCAGAGUCUCCUUUCCGAGCCAAUCAGUGGUAGUGGCAGAGGCUGCCCGCCUUGUUCCUUUCCUGUCUUCUUAACUCAGAAAUACAGAAGGGUUAACAUUUAAUUAAAAGAGGAAGAGAAAAGAAAGAAGAUGAGUUAAAGAGGAGGCAGGGUGGAAACACUGGAUCAGUGGAGAUUGAGGGGUUUUUCUCAAAGUUAUUAACUCUGGUGAAAUUUGUUUCAGAUGUUUCAUUGGCGCUUACGUUAAGCUUCCACUCCAUCUUCAUGUCUCUGGAAGGGCACGCAAGACACAGCCACAGCCGCUGCCUCUGGGGCGGGGAUUGGGCGCUGCGAGUUAGAACUGGGAAGAGCACUUUCUUACCACAUACCUUUAGCCUUGUGUGAAUUUUAACCACGUGCAACUGCUGUGUUUUCAAACAAUAAGAGCUACCAACAGAACAACACCACAGAUUUCUCUCCAGCAAACAGUUUGGGGGCAAU